RNAcentral lists this ribosomal RNA (865 nucleotides) under Pediococcus pentosaceus. RNAcentral describes it as "bacterial SSU rRNA". It matches the Rfam family "Bacterial small subunit ribosomal RNA", at positions 630 to 1493 of the family's 1533-position model. The record is from RNAcentral. Lineage: Bacteria; Bacillati; Bacillota; Bacilli; Lactobacillales; Lactobacillaceae.
AAACUGGGAGACUUGAGUGCAGAAGAGGACAGUGGAACUCCAUGUGUAGCGGUGAAAUGCGUAGAUAUAUGGAAGAACACCAGUGGCGAAGGCGGCUGUCUGGUCUGCAACUGACGCUGAGGCUCGAAAGCAUGGGUAGCGAACAGGAUUAGAUACCCUGGUAGUCCAUGCCGUAAACGAUGAUUACUAAGUGUUGGAGGGUUUCCCGCCCUUCAGUGCUGCAGCUAACGCAUUAAGUAAUCCGCCUGGGGAGUACGACCGCAAGGUUGAAACUCAAAAGAAUUGACGGGGGCCCGCACAAGCGGUGGAGCAUGUGGUUUAAUUUGAAGCUACGCGAAGAACCUUACCAGGUCUUGACAUCUUCUGACAGUCUAAGAGAUUAGAGGUUCCCUUCGGGGACAGAAUGACAGGUGGUGCAUGGUUGUCGUCAGCUCGUGUCGUGAGAUGUUGGGUUAAGUCCCGCAACGAGCGCAACCCUUAUUACUAGUUGCCAGCAUUAAGUUGGGCACUCUAGUGAGACUGCCGGUGACAAACCGGAGGAAGGUGGGGACGACGUCAAAUCAUCAUGCCCCUUAUGACCUGGGCUACACACGUGCUACAAUGGAUGGUACAACGAGUCGCGAGACCGCGAGGUUAAGCUAAUCUCUUAAAACCAUUCUCAGUUCGGACUGUAGGCUGCAACUCGCCUACACGAAGUCGGAAUCGCUAGUAAUCGCGGAUCAGCAUGCCGCGGUGAAUACGUUCCCGGGCCUUGUACACACCGCCCGUCACACCAUGAGAGUUUGUAACACCCAAAGCCGGUGGGGUAACCUUUUAGGAGCUAGCCGUCUAAGGUGGGACAGAUGAUUAGGGUGAAGUCGUAACA